This 1356-nucleotide long non-coding RNA is filed under the name Monodelphis domestica (gray short-tailed opossum). RNAcentral's name for it is "lncRNA (ENSMODG00000051159.1)". The record is from RNAcentral. Lineage: Eukaryota; Metazoa; Chordata; Mammalia; Didelphimorphia; Didelphidae.
GAAAUAUAGUCAUAUAUAUUGUGGACUUUAUAUUUACUCCACUCUGCUUAGUCUAGGAAAACAGGAAUGUCUACACCCAUACUUAAGGAUUAAGAAUUGAGGAGGAUGUCCUAUGACAGACAUGUGCUAGUACAUGACAAAUCAGAAACAACUGACAGACAUCUGGGCUGUCCGAAGUCAAGCUUAAGCUACCACCAGUACAUGUGAGACACAGGAAAGUGAUGUAAAAAUGGUCUAUAUAUUUCUCAUUACUUCCUCUAUCUGGCCUUUUUUGGCAGAGAGGUGGCUCUGGAGGCAGCAUACUGAGCAUCUUGGCAUCUUGGCAUGGCAGCAGUUAUUGUCUAGGUUUGUCGUGUCUAGCUCAGUCCAGGCCCGGGUGAUGUUCCAGAAACUCAGCCUCCUCCAGGAGAAGGAGACCUUUCCCGUACUAAUCUCUCCAGAGGCCAGAAAUGGAAGGCCAGCUACUCACUCACCCAAGACAAAGUUCAAAGGGAAGAUCCAGGAGCAGUCCAAGAAAAUAAGGUCCCAAGUUGAAGCUGAGGCCCAAGUUUAAAGCCACUUCUAAGAGGCAAGUCACCAGCCAAAUCUCCAAGCAGAAGAUUCAAGCUGAAGGACCCUUGGACAAGAACUUCAGGAUUUCUUACUUCAGAGGGGCCAAUCACAGCUUCCAAAUUGCCUAGCAAUGUCUAGGGCAGUGCUUGUGGGAUCAAAUUUUCGUCCUCUGAGGGUGUUAACUCUUAUCAAAGGAUUCACAAAUUUCUGAGUGACUAAGGUAAAACAGUAGAACUCUCCAAAGAAGUGACUUGUGAACCCCCUUACUUAGUGUUAAAUAGGAGUGCUUAAGUUUUUUGGUUGAUUAAUUCAAAAUAGACAAAGAUAAGAAAGAAUUCCAUUUCACAAUUAUGAUGUAAUUAUAAAAUAUACAUAGGCACACCCAUAUGAACAUCAAAGCUCUGUAUGAUUGGUGGUAUUAUGGCCCCUAUUUUAUAGAUGAAGAAAUUAUAGCUUAAAUAGUUUCAAUGACUUUUUUAGAUAAUCAAAGCUAGUGAGCAUCUGCAGAAGAAUUCCGACUCCAACUUGAAUGAUUCUCUAUAAACUGACAUGUUUGUGAAAAUCACAUUGUUCAGUUUUGAAUAUAUAUAACUUUACGUGCAUGUUUCUGUGUGCAUGUGUUUAUAUAUGUACACAUAUAUAUUUCAAUUUAAAUUUUAUGCUCUGUAAAUAAUUUGGAUUGAAGUUGGACAUUUGUUUCUAAAAAAUAACAUUUGCUUUCACUUCUGAUGCUCAUUACAAAUAGUCUGAUUUUAAAUGAAGAUUAAAAAUAGAAGAAAGAAUAAAGGGAAUUUCCACUUGUCA